Molecule: ribosomal RNA, 497 nt
Filed under: uncultured bacterium
Lineage: Bacteria
Description: partial 16S ribosomal RNA
Rfam family: Bacterial small subunit ribosomal RNA
Source: RNAcentral
GAUGAACGCUGGCGGCGUGCCUAAUACAUGCAAGUCGAGCGAACAGACGAGGAGCUUGCUCCUCUGACGUUAGCGGCGGACGGGUGAGUAACACGUGGAUAACCUACCUAUAAGACUGGGAUAACUUCGGGAAACCAGAGCUAAUACCGAAUAAUAUAUUGAACCGCCUGGUUCAAUAGUGAAAGUCGGUUUUUCUGUCACUUAUAGAUGGAUCCGCGCCGCAUUAGCUAGUUGGUAAGGUAACGGCUUACCAAGGCUACGAUGCGUAGCCGACCUGAGAGGGUGAUCGGCCACACUGGAACUGAGACACGGUCCAGACUCCUACGGGAGGCAGCAGUAGGGAAUCUUCCGCAAUGGGCGAAAGCCUGACGGAGCAACGCCGCGUGAGUGAUGAAGGUCUUCGGAUCGUAAAACUCUGUUAUUAGGGAAGAACAAAUGUGUAAGUAACUAUGCACGUCUUGACGGUACCUAAUCAGAAAGCCACGGCUAACUACGUG